RNAcentral lists this ribosomal RNA (407 nucleotides) under uncultured bacterium. RNAcentral describes it as "partial 16S ribosomal RNA". It matches the Rfam family "Bacterial small subunit ribosomal RNA", at positions 30 to 526 of the family's 1533-position model. The record is from RNAcentral.
AUUGAACGCUGGCGGCAGGCCUAACACAUGCAAGUCGAGCGGAGCGGGGGACGGGUGAGUAAGGCCUAGGAAGCUGCCUGGUAGUGGGGGAUAACGUACGGAAACGGGCGCUAAUACCGCAUACUUUAAGAUGAACCUAGGUCGGAUUAGCUAGUUGGUGGGGUAAAGGCCUACCAAGGCGACGAUCCGUAGCUGGUCUGAGAGGAUGAUCAGUCACACUGGAACUGAGACACGGUCCAGACUCCUACGGGAGGCAGCAGUGGGGAAUAUUGGACAAUGGGCGAAAGCCUGAUCCAGCCAUGCCGCGUGUGUGAAGAAGGUCUUCGGAUUGUAAAGCACUUUAAGUUGGGAGGCGUUACCAACAGAAUAAGCACCGGCUAACUUCGUGCCGGCCGCCGCGGUAAUAC